This 433-nucleotide ribosomal RNA is filed under the name uncultured bacterium. RNAcentral describes it as "partial 16S ribosomal RNA". It matches the Rfam family "Bacterial small subunit ribosomal RNA", at positions 29 to 507 of the family's 1533-position model. The record is from RNAcentral.
AACGAACGCUGGCGGCUUGCCUAACACAUGCAAGUCGAACGAGACCUUCGGGUCUAGUGGCGCACGGGUGCGUAACGCGUGGGAACCUGCCCUUAGGUUCGGAAUAACUCCCCGAAAGGGGUGCUAAUACCGGAUAAUGUCUUCGGACCAAAGAUUUAUCGCCUUUGGAUGGGCCCGCGUUGGAUUAGCUAGUUGGUAGGGUAAAAGCCUACCAAGGCGACGAUCCAUAGCUGGUCUGAGAGGAUGAUCAGCCACACUGGGACUGAGACACGGCCCAGACUCCUGCGGGAGGCAGCAGUGGGGAAUAUUGGACAAUGGGCGAAAGCCUGAUCCAGCAAUGCCGCGUGAGUGAUGAAGGCCUUAGGGUUGUAAAGCUCUUUUACCCGGGAUGAUAAUGACAGUACCGGGAGAAUAAGCUCCGGCUAACUCCGUG